AACCAUAUCAGAGAGCAAGCUUCCUCUCUUACUCCCAAAACCCAGCAAUUUCAUUCUCAGCCCAUCCUUUUCCCUUAGUUUUCCCUGUUGGCAAGCUGUUCUAACACUUGACAGAGUCUCUGUCAAGCUGCCGGAAAAACACUCAAGCCACCAUUUUCUCUCUUUUUCCUUAUGCUCAACCAAACCUCUCUGCAAACUCUUCAUCUCUUGCCUUAAUACCUCUUUUCACCCAAGGAACAGUUAGUUUUCUCUUUAGUGUUAAACUCAU
RNAcentral lists this long non-coding RNA (268 nucleotides) under Prunus persica (peach). RNAcentral describes it as "long non-coding RNA (PPER_LNC007726)". Lineage: Eukaryota; Viridiplantae; Streptophyta; Magnoliopsida; Rosales; Rosaceae. The record is from RNAcentral.